Molecule: ribosomal RNA, 446 nt
Filed under: uncultured bacterium
Lineage: Bacteria
Description: bacterial SSU rRNA
Rfam family: Bacterial small subunit ribosomal RNA
Source: RNAcentral
UCCAGACUCCUACGGGAGGCAGCAGUGGGGAAUAUUGCACAAUGGGGGAAACCCUGAUGCAGCGACGCCGCGUGAGCGAUGAAGUAUUUCGGUAUGUAAAGCUCUAUCAGCAGGGAAGAAAAUGACGGUACCUGACUAAGAAGCCCCGGCUAACUACGUGCCAGCAGCCGCGGUAAUACGUAGGGGGCAAGCGUUAUCCGGAUUUACUGGGUGUAAAGGGGGCGCAGACGGCGAUGCAAGCCAGGAGUGAAAGCCCGGGGCUCAACUCCGGGACUGCUUUUGAAACUGUGAAACUUGAGUGCAGGAGAGGUAAGCGGAAUUCCUGGUGUAGCGGUGAAAUGCGUAGAUAUCAGGAGGAACACCAGUGGCGAAGGCGGCUUACUGGACUGUAACUGACGUUGAGGCUCGAAAGCGUGGGGAGCAAACAGGAUUAGAUACCCUAGUAU